GAUGAACGCUGGCGGCGUGCCUAAUACAUGCAAGUCGAGCGAACGGAUGAGAAGCUUGCUUCUCUGAUGUUAGCGGCGGACGGGUGAGUAACACGUGGAUAACCUACCUAUAAGACUGGGAUAACUUCGGGAAACCGUAGCUAAUACCGGAUAAUAUUUUGAACCGCAUGGUUCAAAAGUGAAAGACGGUCUUGCUGUCACUUAUAGAUGGAUCCGCGCUGCAUUAGCUAGUUGGUAAGGUAACGGCUUACCAAGGCAACGAUGCAUAGCCGACCUGAGAGGGUGAUCGGCCACACUGGAACUGAGACACGGUCCAGACUCCUACGGGAGGCAGCAGUAGGGAAUCUUCCGCAAUGGGCGAAAGCCUGACGGAGCAACGCCGCGUGAGUGAUGAAGGGCUUCGGAUCGUAAAACUCUGUUAUUAGGGAAGAACAUAUGUGUAAGUAACUGUGCACAUCUUGACGGUACCUAAUCAGAAAGCCACGGCUAACUACGUGC
RNAcentral lists this ribosomal RNA (498 nucleotides) under uncultured bacterium. RNAcentral's name for it is "partial 16S ribosomal RNA". It matches the Rfam family "Bacterial small subunit ribosomal RNA", at positions 28 to 508 of the family's 1533-position model. The record is from RNAcentral.